UGGGUAGGCGGAAUAUUAAGUCAGUGGUGAAAUCCUGCGGCUCAACCGUAGAACUGCCAUUGAUACUGAUAUUCUUGAAUGUAGUUGAGGUAGGCGGAAUGUGUAAUGUAGCGGUGAAAUGCUUAGAUAUUACACAGAACACCGAUUGCGAAGGCGGCUUACUAAACUAUGAUUGACGCUGAUGCACGAAAGCGUGGGGAGCGAACAGGAAUAGAUACCCUGGUAGUCC
This 229-nucleotide ribosomal RNA is filed under the name uncultured bacterium. RNAcentral's name for it is "partial 16S ribosomal RNA". It matches the Rfam family "Bacterial small subunit ribosomal RNA", at positions 568 to 796 of the family's 1533-position model. The record is from RNAcentral.